CUCAAAGGUUGGCUCAGCAUGGAUGGAAACCAUGCUAUAGAGUGCAAACGCAAAAGCCAGCCUGACUGCGAGACUGACGGGUCGAGCAGAAACGAAAGUUGGAGUUAGU
Molecule: unclassified non-coding RNA, 109 nt
Filed under: [Eubacterium] siraeum V10Sc8a
Lineage: Bacteria; Bacillati; Bacillota; Clostridia; Eubacteriales; Oscillospiraceae
Description: Pseudoknot of the domain G(G12) of 23S ribosomal RNA
Rfam family: Bacterial large subunit ribosomal RNA
Source: RNAcentral